This 15609-nucleotide long non-coding RNA is filed under the name Cucumis sativus (cucumber). Lineage: Eukaryota; Viridiplantae; Streptophyta; Magnoliopsida; Cucurbitales; Cucurbitaceae. The record is from RNAcentral.
AUAUACAUGUUAUGUAUGCAGUGAUAUAUAAUGAAAUUCAACUAUAAAUUAUGUAUUAUUGAAUAUAUGUAGUAAUAUAUAUGUAAUAGAUCACAAAACAUAAAUAUAAAUAAGAUGUAUAUAUAUAUAUGAUAAAUCACUUAAUAGAAGUAGAUUAAACAGUGAUAUAUAAAUACAUAUAUUGUUGAUGAAAACUUUAUAAAACAAAAAUAUGAUUAAGAUGAUCAGAACAUGCCGUAAUUAAACAAAACAUUAAGAACAUGACCAGAAAAUAUGAUAAACAACCAAAAAUUAAAAACAUGACCGAAAGACAUAUCAAAGAACAUACUAGUCGAAAAAGAACAAACAAUAAGAUUUUUUGGCCAUCCUGUCAAAAAAUAUUAGAACUAUCAUUAAAUAUUUAUGUUUUAAAUAAGAAGAAGUAUAUACGUACUAAAUCACAUAAGAAACAUAUUAUAUUUUACUCGUAUAUUAUAGUUUAUAUUAUUCAUUUAAAAAAAUAUAUGAUAAAUAAAAGGUAUAUAAUUAUAUGAAGUGAGAAUAUGUAUGUAUAAUAUAUAUUUUAAAUACUAAUUAUUAAGGAAUACGUAGUUUACAACAUAUUUAAGAUAUAAAUAUUUAUAUGACUAACAACAUAAUAUUGCUAUAGGAUAAACAAUAAAACAAAGAACAUGAUUGAAGUGAAAAAUAUUUUUGAUUACUGUAUGUUAUUAUAUAUAUCUUAUUGUAUAUAUGAAGUGGUACUAUACAUGUCUUAUUGGAUAUAAGAUGCAAGUAAUAUUACAUAAUAAGGUAGUAUAUGUAACAAAUCACAUAAUACAUGUAUAUAUGUAAUGAUAAAAAAAAGAACUAAAUCGUUAUAUAGUAUUUGUAUGUAGUGAUAUAUAAAUUAAAUAUUAAAAAUUACAGAACUAAAAAAAGCUGUGAACUUAUUAUCCAAUAAAUGUAAGAGUAUAUAUGUAACAAAACACAAAAAUUUACUUCAAAAGAUACAAUACCAAAUGUGUAAAAAAAAAAACAUAAUGCAUUUUCUAUAAUCCGUGUAUACCAAACACGACAAGAAGAUGAAUUAAAGUAGAAAUAACAAAUUUUUUAAGGAAAAAAAUUAUAUGCUAGUAAACGGAAAUUAAAUAUUAUACUAAAAGAACACUAAACGAAAAAAAGAAUACUAACCAAUUCAAAUUCGCCAAAUUAAAAAGAAAGAAGAAAAAACAAAUUUAUUUUUCUAUAGAAAUAAGAAAAAGGAGAAUGUGUUGAGGAUGAAAUGAAAAAAUAAUUUUGAUAAAUUAUAAACAAAUAAUAAAUAUUACAUUAAUAAAUAUAAAAAUAUAUAUUAUAAUAAUUAAUUGAGAUACAAUUGAUAAAUGAGAUGAUAAUUAAGAAAAACAUUCUUCAACAUUUUCAAAAAUAUUAAAAAAUAUUUAAGAUUUACCGAUAUAAUUUAUUUUUAAAUAAUUAAAUAAAGGUUAAAAUUGUUUCAAAAUACAAUGAUUUGUUAAUUUAGAUAAUAAUUAAAAAUUUAAGACAUUUGUGAAAUAAUAGAUAAUUUAACUAUUUUCUUUAAAUCUUUUUAGGUUCUAAAAAAAAGUUCUCAUCCCAUCCAGUUAAAUAUUAAAAUUAAAGUUAUGAACCAUUUAUAACACUUUGGUAAAUUUAGGAUUAAAGUUUAUGGUUUGGGAUCUAGAGACCAACGGAAUAACUCCAAACUUGACUAACCAAAAUGAAUGAUAUCUUAAAAACAAUUUUUUAAAAAAAUUUACACAAAUAGAAGAAAAUGGAAAGUAUUUACAUUCUAAUAGUUUGGAUUUGAUUAAAAUUUUGGCUAUCUAUUCUAUGGUUAUAUAUUUUCACAUUAAUUAAAAUUGAGAAGAAAAAAAACUAGUUGAAGGGUUUUUGAAAAGUGCUAUGUAAAACCUUAAAUUAGCCAUUUCUGAUGGUUUGACAGAGUAUUGUGAAUCUGUCUUUACAUUUCUGUGUAAUUCAAGAAGAAAUCAAAUCAGGAUCAGAUGUUUCCCCAUGUCAAGUAGUUCUAAAAGAUGUCUCUUGUUGCUCCACAAAUGCAUCAAUAUGAACCAGCUAAAGCAAGCUCAUGCCCAGGUUCUUAAAUCCGGCCUCCACAACAGCAACUUCGUUUUGAGCAGAUUGUUGAAUUUUUGUGCAGAAUCCCGCAAUGGCUCUCUUUCUCAUGCAUUCAAGCUCUUCCAACACAUUCAACACCCCACCAUUUGCAUCUUCAACACCAUGAUCAAAGCCCUUCUGCUUCGAGGUGAAUUUCUCAACGCCAUUGCUGUUUUCUCUGCCAUCUUUCGAAAUGGGAUCCACCCUGAUACUUAUACUCUUCCUUACGUUCUAAAGGCUUCUGCGAGGAUGACUAACAUUCACCUUGGAGAGUCCAUUCAUGCCUGUACUAUAAAAUUGGGGUCUGCAGUGAAUGAAUUUGUGGGGAAUUCUUUACUUGUUAUGUACCGCUCGUUUGACAACAUGAGAAGUGCAAGACAAGUGUUCGAUGAAAUGCCUGAGUUAAGUGCUGUGUCAUGGACGGUUAUGAUUUAUGGGUAUGCAAAUAUGGGUGAUGUUGACACUGCAAGAGAGUUGUUUGACAUGGCUACGGUUAAAGAUACAGGGAUAUGGGGUGCUAUGAUAUCUGGGUAUGUGCAGAACAAUUGCUUCAAGGAGGGGCUUCACAUGUUCCGUCUGAUGCAGCUGACUGAAGUAGAGCCUGAUGAAGCCAUAAUUGUGACAAUCCUUAGUGCUUGUGCUCAUAUGGGAGCUCUUGAUACUGGGAUUUGGAUUCAUAGGUAUUUGGGUCGGCUAGGAUUGCCAUUAACUCUGCGAGUGAGCACUGGGCUAAUAGAUAUGUAUGCAAAAUGUGGGCAUUUGGACCUCGCUAAGUACCUUUUCAAUGAAAUGUCUCAGAGAGAUAAUGUUUGUUGGAACGCAAUGAUUUCCGGAAUGGCAAUGGAUGGAGAUGGAGAAGGUGCAAUCAAACUCUUCAUGGAGAUGGAAAAGGCUGGAAUAAAGCCUGACAACAUUACUUUCAUAGCCGUUUUGGCUGCUUGUAGCAACUCAGGUAUGGUCGAUGAAGGUAUAAGGAUAUGGAAUAGAAUGUCUACAGUACACAAAAUUGAGCCAAAGAGUGAACAUUAUGGGUGUGUAAUUGACCUGCUGAGUCGAGUUGGGCGGUUUGAGGAAGCAGAGGGAGUGAUUCAAAGGCUUCCUAAAACAGCCAGCCCUUCAGAGGAAGCAGUGGCUUGGAGAGCAUUUCUAAGCGCUUGCUGCAAGCAUGGGCAAACGCAGCAGGCAGAGGUUGCUGCUGAGAGGUUGUUCCAACUGGAAAGGCAUAGUGGGGCUUAUGUUUUGCUCUCAAAUAUGUAUGCUGCUUUGGGGAAGCAUGAGGAUGCUAAAAGAGUGAGGAACAUGAUGAAGUUGAAAGGGGUUGAGAAGGUACCUGGUUGCAGCUCUAUCAAAGUAAAUGGGGUUGUCAAUGAAUUCAUUGCAGGGGAAAAGACACACCGCCACAUUGAUAAUAUACACUUGGUUUUGGAAGAGUUGAAUAAACAGAUUGUUGAAGCUGAUCUUGAAGGUAUAAUAUCAACCGCUCACAUUGGAUAUUGAUUCGUACAAAUGCACACGUCAAAUUAUAAUAUAGUAAACUGUUCAAGAACGAUCUUUGGAGAUUUGGUGAUUAAUUAUUUUAGUCAUUGCAGAAAUCUUUCCAGAUUUAUUUAGGACGCUUAUUCUUUAUAAAGACCUAAACUAAAGAAAGUGGUAAAGGGUGACAAACAAGAUGAAACUGAGGUAGAGACACAUCAUAGGGUGUUGAUUUUGUAAUGGAUGAACUGUAUCAAUUGACUAACCCUUAAAAUUCAUGUAUUGUCAAUCAUAGAUUAGAAGCCUCAUGUACAUGUGUUCUCUCUCGAGUUUAACUUAAAUGUUUAGUUAGAAUAUAUGAAUAUCAUAAUGGAGAAGUUGUAAAAUUGUUUUGAAGACAUAAACCAUGAGCAUACCAUAUAUCAAUAAGUAAAUACUGCAAGUAUGAUAUGAGCUUAUUAGCUGUGUAUCUAACAAAAAUUAACAUUUAAUCGGUAAGUUAUUUUGAAGUGAAGUUUGUGUAUUUCCCUUUGUAAAUCAGUAAUAUAUGAGAUAUAAGACAUGGGUGUAUUGUCCAUUCAAUUAGUAAAUACUUGAAGGAAGAGAGAAUUGUAACAAUGGUAUAUCUAACAAUAAUCAAGAUUCAAUCAGUAGGUUAUUUGGAGUAAAGAAGUAAAGCUUGUUUGUUUCACUUUAUAAGUCAGCAAUAUAUUAGAUAGAUAUAAGACAUGAGUGUAUCAAAGCAUUCAAUUAGUAAAUACUUGAGUAAAACACAAGUGUAUUGAUAAUAUAUCUAACAAUAAUCAUUAUUCCAUUUACAUCAUAAAUCAAUUAUCAACUUUCAAAAAUAUAAAUAUCAAUAAUAUAUCUAGUCAAGGUAUUAAAGAAUUUCAAGUAUAUAAAAAAGUUUACAAGUACAUAUCAAGCAGCUUUCAAAAAUAUCGAUAAAUAUGACAACAAUAUAUCAACACAUAUCAAACAACUUGUUUGAGAAUGUUAAUAGUAUAUCGGCAAUAUAUCCCAUAGUAAUCAACAUAUCAACAUUAUAUCAAAAGAUUUAACUUUAAAGUCUAUAUGAACAUGUUUUGGACAUAGUGGAGCGAAGUGGAGUGAGCUAUAAUAGUCCACUCUUUGUUUGGGGUAUGACUUAGUUUUAGUUGGAGAUUAGGAUUGGAAUUUCAAAUAACACUAGUUACUAUAUUCUUCAACCCUAAGUGGGUGUUUUUUCAAGGGUUGUGAAGUUUGUCGGGCAACUUUCAUACACCACUUUCAAUGACCAUCCUUGGUCAAUCUUCGACCACCACUGUCAGCAACUCCACCAACAAAACUUUUGACAACUAACUUUGGUCACCGUCACCUACCAACCUCCAAUCACCUGAAUCAAACUUGAAAUUUUUUAAUAAAAGCAUUUUAAAUGAAGGUUGUCAAAUACAUUUACAUUUUUAUUUUAAUAAAUAUUUAUAAAAAGUGUUCAAAUAAAAAUGAACAUUUGAAUAACCAUUUUUUCUAAGUCAUUAUAAAUAUGCUCUUACUUUAACUAACAAUUUUUUUAAAAAUACAUUUUCUCAUUCUUUUAUUUUUGUUGGUUUGAUUUUUUUUCAAACUUAUUAUUAUUAUUAAACUAUCAUUUUGAAAAUGUCCUUCUUCCCUUCUUUAUUUAAAAUUAUUUUCUUCCUAUUGCAAGGAGAGCUGAACAAGUAAAUUAGACCAUAUUUUUAUGUUAAAUAAUAACUCAUUUGACUACAAUUAUGUAAAGUAUAUUUAUGUCUGGUAGGCUUGCAUAUGAAAAUGUCGAAACGUCACACCCAAACUUUAUGACUUAAAAUGAAAGACAACUAUCUAAACUAGAUACGAGACAUAAAAAAUAAGAUAAACUAGGAAUAUUCGAAGCAUACAACCAUAGGCAAACACAUUUUGAACAAAUAUGACCGUAACACACUAGGACUGUGUUUUUUCCAAAUUUUUUUGUCAUCUAAUGCAAUUUUCCGACAAUUAAUUUAAUUGUUUUUAAAAAAUAGUACCCCUAAACCAAACACAACAAUGAUGCAUCACUUAACAUGAAGAACAUCAUUUAAAGUAAAGUUUAAUCUAAAAACUGAAUCAUGCUUCUAUAUACAUUACAAACAUCCCAACCUUUACCUAGUUCUUCCAUGAAGUUUAUAACAAAGACAACAUCAAAUACAGAUUUCGGCUAUUUGGAUGUACGUGCACAAACAAGAUUUCCACUCCCUUCGGAGGCAUUACAUAAAAAUGAAACGAUACAAAAAGAUUAGCAUAGCUUCUACACAAGGAUACCAUUUCAACGAGAUGUCUACCAUGCUGAGGGAAAUCGAAUCCACUGUGUAAGCAGUCCCUGUUCAACUUACUAACUAAACAAGGAAUUCAGCAUCAGAAACUUCAAGAACCUUGUGGAAACCUAUUGGCUUCACACCUUGCCGAAAUGCAUUUCCUUCAAUGUACCUAUCAACAGCAAGACCUUGGAGAAACAUAUCUACAGAAUGAAAAUUGAUAUGAAGUUCGAAUGUAGAAUUAACUCACAUCUCUUUUAAGAAUGGGUGUUUAUAGAAGGCAUCAGGGAUUCUUCCACUAAAUUGGUUGUGAUCCAAGUACCUAGAAUUAAAAUUUUCACAGUUGGUAAACAAAAUUUAAUGGAAAACAAAACACAAAUGAUACGAAGAUACUUGCAAAGACACUGACUUUGUAAAGAAGAAAAAAAAUAACUGACAUGUAUAACAAUAAAUGACGAUCGUGGAAAGAUUUAUAACAGAAGAGUGGUCUGUACUUUGUUGAAUUCUUUUAUUGACGUAAGGAAGCAAAUCAAUCUUCAUGAUCUUCACAAUUGAAUACGUCUAAUAGGUUUCAUCCAUACUUAUUAUUUUGGGAAACAAUUUAUGAAGAACUGUAUUCUUUAUUAUCGCAAGUUGUUAGUUGAAAGAAAGAGAAAAAUUUGCACUCGAUAACUUCUUUAGAGUUGCAAGCUGAGAAAUGUCAUAGAUUAAACCAAAUACAACUGAAGAAGGAUAAAAAAAAGACUUACAGAUAGGUCAACUUAGGUAUAUGAGCAACCCCAGGUGGUAUUAUCCCAGACAUCUUGUUGUAGGAGAGGUACCUAAACCAAACAAACAAAACAAAAUGUUUAGAUAAAACUGAUGUAAUAUACUUGAGAACAAAAGCGCGAAUUUUUAGAUAACCAAAUUACAGAAUUUCCAAGUUAGUCAGGUUUGCAAGCUGUGAUGGAACUCCUCCCGUAAAAUAAUUAUUGUUGAUGUACCUACAUGGAAAAUAGAAAUAAACUAGCUGAUGAAGUAUUUAAGGAAACAAAAUUGAAUAUGACACGCCCUGACUUCAAUUAACUUACAGGUUGCGGAGUGAUGGAAAACAGCCCUCAAGGCGAAUCAGCUCCCUUAUGGUUCCUACUAAAUGGUUGUUGCCAAGAUCCCUUUACAAAAUCCAAAUGACAGGUCAAACAUUAAAAAGCGAUGCAUAACUUUCGAUAAAGAAAAGAAAAUGUCCAAAGAACAGAAGUUUACAGUUGCCGAAGAUUGGGUAGGGUGCCCAGUUCAGGAGGAAUUUUCCCUGAAAGGCGAUUUUCAUUUAAAUGGAGAUAGCGGAGCUCCCGUAGAGUAACAAGUUCUUUGGGGAUUUCUCCUUUGAAAUUAUUGAAACCCAAAUAUCUGCAUAAGCUCAAAAUUGCAACAGAAAUGAAUAGAUUAAAAUGCAAGAAAUUGGUAAAACAAUUUAUACCCGAAAUUAAAAUUACUUACAAAUGAGUUAGGCCCUUUAGUGCACCAAUCUCAGGAGGGAUGACAUCUUGAAGUUUAUUCCACCUUAAAUUCCUGUGAACGGAAUUUUGCAAAACUAUAAUUAAAAUAAUACAUCAACAAAUGGUCAGCAACGACCAAACUUUUGAACCAUAAUCUUCAUGACAUGCACGUAAUUGCUUGUUAAUUGUUAUUGACAUUCGGUUUAGCAAGCUAUUCUUUUUCUUGAAAAAGGAAACCAUAUUGGAACUGUUUUUUUUUUCUCUUUUUUUUAUUUCCUAAAAUAAUAUGCCAUCUACAGAAACAUUGGACUUUGAACUCUUUUAAAAUAAACAGGAAUCAGAAAAAAUCACAGGAAAAAAGUGCAAGGGAUGUACAGUAUUUUGAGACGUCUUAACCGUCCAAUUUGAGGAGGAAUUGGUCCAGUCAACUUGUUAUUAUGAAGAUCCCUGUUAUAAGAACAAACACAGGCAUACACAUCGUAAGCAUUUGAAGAGAUAGGAGUCCAUUCUCCCCUUCACCAUCUUUCAUUUAAAUCCUAACAAAAAGUUGAUGAAUCUAAAAUAAGUUACAUUAGAUGUGAUUUUAGGCAAGAGAUGUUUAUAUAACUGCAAUAAUGAUAAUAACCAUAUACUGAAUCAUUGACUGUGAUGGAUGAAAAUGCAACAAUUGUCUACUAACAAAACUACUUUGUACAUCAGAAGGCCACAGUUCGAAUCAGAGUAACGAAGAGUAGAAUUUUAAUUGAUCGUGGAGCAAGGAUGACUUACAAUACACUGUCACGUAUUUAAAUAGCCUCAAAGGAUUCUACUCGUCACUCGGUGGGAAUUGCAUUAGAAUAAAAUUUCUGUUUAAAAGACUAAUCAUUUGCUGAUUGAGGAACGGGCGAUUCAUGGUAGGUAGAUUGAGCAUAAUGAGAUUUGGUUAGAUUUCACAUGUCCCUUUGGGCUUCGAUUUUGAAAACCUUUUGUAAUUAUUCCAUUGAUAAUAUUUUACUUAGUUGGUCCCGUGUUUUGGUGGGCUUGUUUUUUUUUGUAUGCCCUUUAUUCUUUCAUUUUUUCCUUAUGAAAGUUGUUAUUAUAGAGAGAAAAAAAAAACUAUAACCAUUUGCUAACAUCUUUCUUUAUUUUCAAUCGACUUUCAAAUUUGUUUUCAAAAUUGUAGCCAAAUUUUAAGAACUAAAAUAAAUAGUUUUUAAAAAAACUGUUUUUUAUUUACGAAAAUUUGGCUACGAUUUCAAGACUGUUUUUUGAAAAUUUAAAACUAAACAAAGAAAGCAUUAUAUCUGCAGUUUUUUAGAAUAUUAACUGGAAACGGAAUUCUCAUUAUCAGAAAACAUAAACAAUGUAAGAUUAAUGAAAAAAUAAACGAAAUCAUAUCCCUAAACUGCCCAGGAAUUAUCAUAUUUUCUUCGGAAAUUUUCAACGACAAUGGCGAAAUUACCAGUCUAUCUCCCCAUUCAUUAUUUCAUCGGUACAUGAAAAUGAUAAAAUGAAGAUUAAGGAAAGAAGAAAUCUCACAGCCUAGUAAGGUCCAAGAGAUUGGUAACCGCAACAGGAAAAGGUCCAACAAUAGAAACCGCAUAGACUUCUCUGCAAAGAAAUGAUGACAAACAAAAAUGAAACUAGUCCUGAAACAAAACUUGUCGAGAAGUAGCUGAACAUUUCAGUAGUUAAAUUACAAGGAAGAGAAGAAAAAUUGGAAAUUACAAUUCAGUGACGACUCUGUAAUCUCCUUGAGUGGAACAGGUAACGCCGGACCAGGGUGGAAGGUGAGAAGCACCACAGGGAUCAUCUCCUACCCAGGAAUACACCACUCUCCAGCCGAGAGAGGCUUUGAUUUCAGUCAAAGCUUUCACUGCAAGAAAACAAAAACCCUAGUGUUAAACUCAACGGAAUUUAGCUUGAUAAGAGUGGGAAAGAAGAAGGAGAAGAGAAAGUACCAUCCCGCUUCAAGGUUUUGCAGAGAACAGAUUGAUGAGGAAGAGCAAAAAGGAAGAGGAUGAAGGAGAACGGUAUGAAUGGAAAUUGGUGCCCCAUUUUCAGUUCCUAUUCUCCCCCUGCCAUGGCUCUUCUCCAUUGUUUUGUUAAUUUUAUUAAUUGCAAGUUCCACUAGUGGCUUUUGUAAAACGUGUUUAUUUUCUAUUUGGUCUCCAAAAUUUGGAAGGUCACAUUUUGAUAUUUUUGUUAGAUCAUGUUUAGGCCCUUUAACAAUUAAUGAUUUGCUUCAAAAACAAAUAAAUGUUAAUUUUUGAGAUAAAGGACACUUGCAAAAAUCACAAAAUAAGUUAUAAUAAUUAAGUUCAUAUCACACGCAUUUUAUUAUUUGUGAAAAUGGCAAAAACGAAAUCCAACCUAUAGGUAAAAUGUCACAAAUACCCUCAUUACUAAUAUACGUUUGAUACACCUUAUAUACGUCUGAUACACAUAAUACACGUCUGAUACACCUAAUACACCCCUUGAUACACCUUAUACUUCUUGAUACACCUGAUACUUCUUGAUACACCCGAUACAUUUGAUUGAUAAACUUGAUACACCUGAUACUCUUUGAUACACUCAUACCGAAACAUACUAAUAUAUGUUUGAUACACCCGAUACACUGCAUAUACAUUUAGUAUUCUUCACUUAUACAAUUGAUUGAUUAAAUGCACUUGAUAUGCUUGAAGUCCUACUUAUACACUUGAUAUACACUUGUAAACUCGAUUCAUAUAAUUUAUAAUAAUUCAUUUUGCUGAUAUGUUUUAACAAUAUACUGUUGAUAUAUUUGAUAAUUAUACACUGAGUUACAUCAUUCAUAUACUUAAUAAUAUUCUAAUGAACUAAAUAAAAUUUGAAAAAAUGAAAAUCACGUAGUAAGUAUAUUAACCAACUAAUACAUAUAAUAUAAGUAGAUCACAACACUGACAUACGAAACUGAGACAAAGUAAAACCAAAAAAUUAAUGUAAAAAAGUAAAACAAAAUCAUUUGGAAUCAAAUUCAACUCAAAAUACACAUAGAAGAAAAUAAAAAAAAAUUACAAAUGAAGUUAAAUUACUCCAAUCAACAAUAAUUGUAUUAUAUUAUUCAUAUUACAAUUAUUGUAUUAUUGAUAUUUUAAAAUUAAGAUUAAGACAGAAAGAAUAAAUAAUUUUUAUAUUAUAAAAAUAAACAAAUAAUUAGGGCCUUAAAAAGUAUAAGCAUAAAUAAAUAAUGUCUAGGACAUUAAAAAGAGGAAGAAAAAUAAAUUAUUGAAGGGUAGUUUAGGAAUAAUAUCAAAUUUAAGAUGGAGAAGUGAAAUUUUUGUCAUAUUUGCAAAAUUCUAAAACAAUAUGUUAUAAUUGCUAUAUCAUAUUAUCAAAAUGUUAUCCUAUGCAAUUUCUCUAACAACUUUAUAUAAAUAGUGUAUUUUUUCUAUAAUUAUGCAUAUAACAAUUAUUUCAUAAGCGGAUUGACCAUAUUAGUAAUAAUAAAUUGUUAAGCAUUAUAAUGGCAAUGCAAUCCUUUUAGGGGAAUAAGACGAUGAAAUUUUCAUUAAACUAAUGAUACACACGUUAAAUCCAUCGAGAUUAGGGAAAUAAAAUCCUUUUAUGGAAUUAUCGCUAAAUGAAGUAUAUUUUCCAUAGACAUUAUUUAUUAUCAUUUAAAAAUUGAUUUUAAAGUUUGAUUUAAAACCACAAAAACACUAAAAAAUAUUAUUCAAAUGUCAAUAUUCCAAAAAAGUCGUGAGAAUAAUAUGAUUUUUAUCUGAAAUUAUUUAAUUAUAUCAAUUUUCCUACGUAGUUUUUUAAUCUGACUUUUAUUUUGAGGUACAACAAUAUUCGAAUGAAUUUGUUUUCAAUUUUGGAAUUCUUUCACGGCAGCUGUCAAUUUUAUUGUUCGCAUUUAUCGUACGCCUGUUUUGAAAUUCUUUUAGAACAGCUGUGGACUGUCUUAGAAUUUCUUUACUUUAUCCUCUACCGUUUCUUAUAAUGACAAUGCAACAUGUGAAGACUUUUUUUUUAUGGUAGAUGGAUAGAAUCUUCUCCAUAUAUUGAUUACCGUGUGGUUGAUGUAUUUGUUCCAUGCUCAUCUUCAUUUCAAGAAUUCUUACAGUUAGGUCCAACCACACACAUCAUUUGACAUCCGAUGCAAAGAUUUGUCAUGUUCAUGGUAUUUACGUGCCUCUGUGUUAAAAAAAAGUGAUAUUUGAAUUGUUCGUAAGUUUACGGAUACACACUUGUGUGUCGUUGACAUUGUUAAAAAUGAUCACAGGCAAGCAACAUCUUGAAUUGUUUCUGAGUGUACAAAGUCAUUUUUUAAAAUGAAUGACAAGGCUCCAUGUUGUCCUUUUGAUGUUAUUAAUUACAUGAAGAUUAAUCAUGUGGUAAAUGUAAGUUAUGAUAAGGCUUGGAGAGGAUGUGAGAUUGCACUAAAUUCCAUUAGGGGUACCCCGGAGGACUCUUAUGCAAUGUUGGCAGCAUUCACGGGUGCAUCGAUUAGAAACAACCCAGAUAUAAUAUAUAUAUCAAAUACUAUGUAUUCUCUAUUAAGUAUUUUACUCAUUAUGGAAAUGCACAUUCUAAUAUCUUGUUUACAUAAUUACUAGGAACGUAUACAACUGAAGAAUCAAACAAUGAAGGUCGAUUCAAGUUCCAUUUCAUGGCCCUUGCAGCUUCAAUUGAUGCAUGGAAUUAUUGUGUGCCAAUUAUUUUAGUUGAUGGUGCAACGUUGAAGAACAAAUAUUUUGGUAAAUGUAAGGUCAAAUAUUUUGGUACGUUGAAGAAAAUUCUCAAAUUGUGCCUCUAGCUUUUGUUGUGGUUGAUUCAGAGAAUUAAUAACGGUGUUAAUAAGAGUGGCCUAUUAAAUGUAGUCUUAACUAGUAACGGUGUUAAUAAGAGAGACUAUUCAUUUCGUGGUCCGAUCUUAUACAAACUCUUUGUAUAAAAUACCCCUGCUGUAAUGUCUCGACAUGAAUGAUUAUGAUCAAAUCAUUUGUAGCACUUUACAACAAUUGUAACAACUACAAAGCAGACCGUAUUCGUAGUGUCACCAGAAUAAGGUAUUCAGCCUUAUCCAUCUACUACAGACCAUUUAGGUUAUCAUUUAAACAUGAUCCACUUGUAUGUCUCCACACACUUUAUUUUAUUAGAUAAAUAAAAUGCUUGUAUAAUAUAUACAAUUACAAACUAUAAAAUCAGAAGAUUUAGAGCAUCAAUCCCAACAUUUUACACGUCAAGUAAUCCAGUGUCAAGAAUAAGAGGAUUUUUGUUUGACAGUUUUUACGCGUCAAGUAAAAUUAUGCUUGACAGUUUAUAAACGUCAAGAAUAUGUUUAUUCUUGACACAUUUUGCAUGUUAAGUUUUUUUUUUCUUUCAAAUGAAAAAUUGUACAAUUUAAAAUAUUCAUAUAAUUAUAUUAAACAUGUUUUGAAGUUCAUUCACACACAUAUAAGUAGUGCCUUUGAGAUUACACAAAGUUGCUAAACUACGCAUAUUAAAUUAAACAAUUAAAUCAGUCAAAACUUUCCAUCAAAGAACUAAUAACUUUAACAAAUUGCAUAUAUCAUUGAACCAUACAUAUAAUACUUAGUCAUUACAUAAUUAAUUACAAUACCCUAAACUUCUACCAUAUGAACAUAUUGUUCUACAUAACUCUAUGUCUAAUAUGAAAAUUUUUAAAGUUUGUAAAAUGUAAAUAUAAGAAAAAGCUAACAUUUCGUCAAUGCUCUAGAUUCUUUUACCUAUAAUUGUACAAAUAUUACAAAGUGUAUGAUAAUGUAUAUACAUUAAAACGUUGGUUGUUUGUUUUCAUAUGCGUGUGUUGCAUAGUACUUUGUGAUUGAACUAGUCUGUGUAAUGGUAGAGCAACAAGAAAAAUAUGACAAGAAAAAAAAAUGUAGAAUAGAGGACAUUUGCUUUUUUUAAAACAAAAAAUUGUCAAGAUAAAGGCAUUCUUGACAGUUAAUUAUAAUCAUGCUAGGUGUUUUAUUGACAUUUAAUAAUUGUCAUGAUUGACAUAUUCUUGACAGAAAAAAUGUCAAAAUAUAUGAAUUCAUAACAGAUAUAUCAAUAUGCAAUAAUGACAGAUAAUUACUGUAAUUUGUGUUAAUUGAUGACAAUUAUUUAUUGUCAUAAAAAAUAUAUAAUAACAACAUUUACUAUUUGUAAUAAUAGUGGAUAUGUGACAUUUAUUUUCUGUCAUGAAAACACUUAUUGUGACAGUUUUUCAAACGGUCAUAGAUAGUCUUUCUUUGACAGACUAUACAAUGACAUUGAAAAAAACUGUCAAAAAUCUUAACUAUGACAAACUUUAACUAUCGUUGUAGGCCAUUUUUCUUGUGGGUGAAAAGUUCUCACUUAUCUUUAUAAUACUGAUUUUGUGUUAAAAUAGAAUUAGUUGACGAUGGAAAUCACGUAUGAAAUGACAUAAUUAUAAAACAUGGGUAAUGUGUCCUGAUACAAGAAAAUUUUGUUAACAUAUUGUUAUUGUUCAAAUGUUUUCUUUAACAAUAAAAGUGUCAUGGCUUAGAUAUUCUUCACAAAUAAAAGAUGUCAUUAUAUAUAUACCUUUUGAUAUUUUAUUGUUGCCAUCAAUGACCAUACUGCUACAACAGAUAGCCAAUUUUCUGAUUAUCACAAUGAUUUCACAUGUCAAAGGAUACGUGACAGGAACAAUUUCUAAACAUCAGGUUAAUUUCAUUGUCUAUGGUAGAUUAUUGUCAUCUAAGAAGAUAUUAUAACAAUUUUUUCCAAUGUCAGUUGAUGAUCAUAUAUCUUUCCAAGGGAUACCAAAAAUGCAAAAUAAUUUUCAUGAAUACUUCUUGUGAUAGUUUUUAGAUGCAGGAACAUCCCAAUUUUGUUGGAGGGUUUGUGGUUUCUUUCAAUUAUCAUCUUCUUCCUAAAUGAAUAAUGUUUCAACUAAAAUAAUUGAGAAAAACUGAAAUGAAAAAUAGAAAAAGUAGACGACGUUAAUAAACUUUUAAUAGUAGGGAGAUGAUAUUGAGGUGUGAAAUUACACAUGUAACCAAGACCAUAGGUUAACUAAAUUUAACAUCCUUUCAUCUACCAUGUAGCUAAUAAAAAAAUUUCCAAAUUUCCAAAUUUCCCUUCAAAUUUCACCAAGUUUCAAGAUUUAUCCAAAUUUUAUGUAAAAAAAUAAAAGAAAUGUCCAAAAUUCAUUGAAAUUGAAAUUUUCAUUUUAUCGUAGUUAUAACUACAUGUUCAAAAAGAAAAUUGCAUCAAAUGACAAAAACAUCUAGAAAAAACAGCCCAUUACACCUUUUGUUUUUCUUUUUUGCAUAUUGUGAAUUUGACAAGUAAUUAGUGAUAUUAGACGACUAUUCGAACGUUAUCAAAGGGUUAUCAAAAAGCUAUCGGACUGUUAUUAAAGGACUAUCAGUUUUAAAUUUGCUACUUUUACAAUUUGGAAAAUGUAGUGACACGAGUCUUAUUAUCAUAAUUUCUUUUGCUAUUUUUAUAAGUGCCCUUACAAAGUGAAGUACAUGUAUAUAUGCGGGACAAGAUUAGAGAACAUGAAAGGGAAAGAGACCUAAUUGAGAGAGACAAGAAACAAAGGUAAGUAUCAUAAUUCUAUUUUAUUUAUAUAUAUAUAUAUAUGUAGGUAUAUAUAUAUAGGUAUAUAUAUAUAGGUAUAUAUAUAUGUGGUUGUAUAUUGUUAAGUAGCAGCUAGUUUAGUGUUGUAAAUGCUCAGGAAGAACAGGUCCAAAUUCCAUGAGUUGUAACGCUGCCCGUUGAUUGUAAAAUACUAUAGCUGUAUAAGUCCAAAGAAAUCCACCAGAGUUUAUAGCUUCCAACACAAGCGUGAAACAUAUUUGACCGAACCUUCGUCCCUGUUCCAACCCAUUUAUUGCCCUCUGGAACUGCAGUUUGUCACCUGUAAUUUCAUUAUGCCUUUCUGUUGCAAACCUUGCAUAUCCUUGAAUUUCUGCAGAAUCAAUAUCCUUAAUUGGCACUGGAGGAACAUCAAAAUUCCUAGAACACAUUGCUAACACCUUUCCACGACAGAUAUGUAUACUUUGGAACAGACUAUGUUUAAUUGCUUUUGAAUAUAAUAUGCAUGGGAACGGGUUCCAUAUUUAUAGUGUUGGCGUUCAAUGUUCUACCAAUUGAUGUCAUCGAAUCUAAUUUUUAUGAAGUAAAUGAAGGAAUAGUAGCUAGCGAGAAGGUGUUUAGAGAAGAUAGCUUCGAAUCAAUUCCUUUUGAUAAUUAUAUUGAGCUUCCUAUUCAUUCCUUAAACUAACUCUCAAAUUUUGGCUUUUCCUUUGCAUUCUCAUCACUUU